RNAcentral lists this microRNA precursor (103 nucleotides) under Marmota monax (woodchuck). Lineage: Eukaryota; Metazoa; Chordata; Mammalia; Rodentia; Sciuridae. The record is from RNAcentral.
AGUAGGAUAGCUGGGUCAAAUGUUUACUCCCCUCCAAGUUUUCUGAGAAUUCUCCAUAUUACUUUCCAUAGUGGUGGCACCAAUUUGCAUUCCCUCCAGCAAU